CCAGUGUGGUCAGAGGCCCAAAUCACUAACUGGAUAACAGCUUGAUCAUCUAAGACAAUUAUGUGCCCAAUGAAGGCUAGGUAACCCCCCUAGGGCAAAUCAAGAUUACAGAGAGACUGGUUGUUGUGAGUUUUCCAGGCUGUGUGGUAGUGGUCUGGUAGAUCUUGUUCCUAACUUUUUGCCUGCAUCUGUGGCUGGCAUCUUCAGAGAGAAUUUGCGCUGCGGUCGUAACCACCCUCCUUUCCUGACACGUUAAUCAAUAUUGGCUUGCGUCUGAACAGAAGUCCUUUCCGCAUAGAAAUUCACAUAUAAGGACACAAGACUCACUGGAAAGGACAAUAAAGCUUUUAAAAGUUGAAGGCAGCAGUGAAAGAGGAAGACCCAACAUGCUAUGGAUUGAUUUUGCAAAAGAAACCACAGCACUCCAUUCAGAAGAACUAAGCAACGAAAUAGGAUAUUUUGGAGGCUAUGGCUUCGUACGGUCAUCAUGAGUCAGAAGCAAUUUCAAAGAUUUUGAAUGCAAGGAAUUGAACACAACACAAUGAAAGCGAUGAUGCCAUACUUGGAAGCUGGCACCCCUAAUAAGCCUAAUAACAUCAUCCCUUCAGUGCACAAAGAAAGAGACUAGCUCUGCUUCUCCUGUUUCCCAGAAAGGAAGGAAAUAUUCCGGCACUGCAGAAUGUACUGAUCUCAAUCAAACCUUACAGCACCAAGGCUCAAAUAUCACUAUAAAUCAGAGCAAGCAAGGACAAAUAUUUGCAAGAUAAUACUCAUAGGUAGCAAUAAAUAAAUAAAUAAAAACCUUUUAA
Sphaerodactylus townsendi is the source of this 809-nucleotide long non-coding RNA. RefSeq lists it as uncharacterized. NCBI's taxonomy places the organism in Eukaryota, Metazoa, Chordata, Lepidosauria, Squamata, Sphaerodactylidae. The record is from RefSeq and is a predicted model, not a curated record. The transcript has 2 exons.